AUUUUUAAUUGCAAUGACGUUGCAAUAUCCUGUUUUAGAUGCGUUCAUAUACCGUGAAAUUCAUAAUAAGCAUUUUUAAUUGGACUGAUUUUGCAGUUUUACUUCCUGUUUAGUGGAGUAUAUAUACUGGCUGUAUUUUCACCUAAAAUAUUGUCUUCUACAAGAUGUCAUGCAAAAGACAGAUAUCAGAAAUUUCUUCUGUAGUCGUCGAGGAAGAGGAGCCACCUCGAAAGAAGCCAUCUGUAAUGUCUGCACAGACAAUAUUGAGAUUUCUAUAUCCAGACGGUCUUCCUCUAUUGCAAAUAUUUCGAGUGAUGAAAGAUGGAGACAGAAGUUCUGGAUCUAGUGGACGAAGCUCUCCUGGAGACGUGGGAGACAGUUGCAGACUUCCUGAAGAAUU
Molecule: long non-coding RNA, 400 nt
Filed under: Androctonus crassicauda
Lineage: Eukaryota; Metazoa; Arthropoda; Arachnida; Scorpiones; Buthidae
Source: RNAcentral